GAUGAACGCUGGCGGCGUGCCUAAUACAUGCAAGUCGAGCGAACGGACGAGAAGCUUGCUUCUCUGAUGUUAGCGGCGGACGGGUGAGUAACACGUGGAUAACCUACCUAUAAGACUGGGAUAACUUCGGGAAACCGGAGCUAAUACCGGAUAAUAUUUUGAACCGCAUGGUUCAAAAGUGAAUGACGGUCUUGCUGUCACUUAUAGAUGGAUCCGCGCUGCAUUAGCUAGUUGGUAAGGUAACGGCUUACCAAGGCAACGAUGCAUAGACGACCUGAGAGACUGAUAGCCCACACGGGAGCGUGACCACGGACAAGACUCCUACGGGAGGCACCAGUAGGGAAUCUUCGGCAAUAGGGGAGAGCCUGGCAGAGCGACGCCACGUGAGUGAUGAAGGUCUUCGGAUCGUAAAACUCUGUUAUUAGUGAUGAACAGAUGUGUAAGUAACUGUGCAGAUCGUGACGGUACCUAAUCAGAAAGCCACGGCUAACUACGUG
Molecule: ribosomal RNA, 497 nt
Filed under: uncultured bacterium
Lineage: Bacteria
Description: partial 16S ribosomal RNA
Rfam family: Bacterial small subunit ribosomal RNA
Source: RNAcentral